GACGAACGCUGGCGGCGUGCUUAACACAUGCAAGUCGAACGGAAAGGCCCUGCUUUUGUGGGGUGCUCGAGUGGCGAACGGGUGAGUAACACGUGAGUAACCUGCCCUUGACUUUGGGAUAACUUCAGGAAACUGGGGCUAAUACCGGAUAGGAGCUCCUGCUGCAUGGUGGGGGUUGGAAAGUUUCGGCGGUUGGGGAUGGACUCGCGGCUUAUCAGCUUGUUGGUGGGGUAGUGGCUUACCAAGGCUUUGACGGGUAGCCGGCCUGAGAGGGUGACCGGCCACAUUGGGACUGGGAUACGGCCCAGACUCCUCCGGGGGGCAGAAGUGGGGAAUAUGGCAAAAUGGGCGGAAGCCUGAUGCAGCAACGCCGGGGGGGGGAUGACGGCCUUCGGGUGGUAAACCGCUUUCGCCUGUGACGAAGGGUGGGUGACGGUAAUGGGGAAAGAAGCACCGGCUAACUACGU
Molecule: ribosomal RNA, 467 nt
Filed under: uncultured bacterium
Lineage: Bacteria
Description: partial 16S ribosomal RNA
Rfam family: Bacterial small subunit ribosomal RNA
Source: RNAcentral